This 473-nucleotide unclassified non-coding RNA is filed under the name Anelosimus eximius. RNAcentral describes it as "partial contains tRNA-Leu and 16S ribosomal RNA". The stretch from base 57 to 354 matches the Rfam family "Bacterial large subunit ribosomal RNA", at positions 2074 to 2646 of the family's 2925-position model. The record is from RNAcentral. Lineage: Eukaryota; Metazoa; Arthropoda; Arachnida; Araneae; Theridiidae.
CUUUAUUAAUUUUUUAUAUAUAAUUUAUAUUAAAUAUAAAAAUAUAUUUUUUAAAUAAAAAGACGAUAAGACCCUAUUAAAUUUUACUUAUAGUUUAACUGGGGAAGUUUUAAAAAUAAAAUUUUUUAUAAAAAUAAAAAUAAAUCUAAUAAAAUUAAAAUUAAAUUAAAUUACUAUAGGGAUAACAGCAUUAUAUUUUUUAAAAGUUCAUAUUAAAAAAAAUGAUUGUGACCUCGAUGUUGAAUUAUAUUUUCUUUAUUAAUGCAAUAAUUAUAAAAGUAGAUCUGUUCGAUCUUUAAAAUAUUACAUGAUUUGAGUUCAAACCGGUGUAAACCAGGUUGGUUUCUAUCUUUUUAUAAAUUCAUAUAUAUAUGUAUAUAUAUAAAUUUUUCAAGUACGAAAGGAAAAAAAAAUUUUUAUUUUAAUUAAUUAGCAAUUAAUAUGCAUUAGAUUUAGAAUCUAAAUAAACUAUU